GCCUUCGUGGUGUAGUGGUCAGCACGCUCGACGCGUAACCGAGAGGUCCGUGGUUCGAUUCCCGGCGACAGCA
RNAcentral lists this transfer RNA (73 nucleotides) under Stegodyphus mimosarum. It matches the Rfam family "tRNA". From Rfam's summary of the family: Transfer RNA (tRNA) molecules are approximately 80 nucleotides in length. Their secondary structure includes four short double-helical elements and three loops (D, anti-codon, and T loops). The record is from Rfam by way of RNAcentral. Lineage: Eukaryota; Metazoa; Arthropoda; Arachnida; Araneae; Eresidae.